Molecule: ribosomal RNA, 448 nt
Filed under: uncultured Georgenia sp.
Lineage: Bacteria; Bacillati; Actinomycetota; Actinomycetes; Allobogoriellales; Allobogoriellaceae
Description: bacterial SSU rRNA
Rfam family: Bacterial small subunit ribosomal RNA
Source: RNAcentral
UUGCCUACGGGGGGCAGCAGUGGGGAAUAUUGCACAAUGGGCGCAAGCCUGAUGCAGCGACGCCGCGUGAGGGAUGACGGCCUUCGGGUUGUAAACCUCUUUCAGCAGGGAAGAAGCGCAAGUGACGGUACCUGCAGAAGAAGCGCCGGCUAACUACGUGCCAGCAGCCGCGGUAAUACGUAGGGCGCAAGCGUUGUCCGGAAUUAUUGGGCGUAAAGAGCUCGUAGGCGGUUUGUCGCGUCUGCUGUGAAAACGCGAGGCUCAACCUCGCGCCUGCAGUGGGUACGGGCAGACUAGAGUGCGGUAGGGGAGACUGGAAUUCCUGGUGUAGCGGUGGAAUGCGCAGAUAUCAGGAGGAACACCGGUGGCGAAGGCGGGUCUCUGGGCCGUAACUGACGCUGAGGAGCGAAAGCAUGGGGAGCGAACAGGAUUAGAUACCCGAGUAGUC